Molecule: ribosomal RNA, 373 nt
Filed under: uncultured organism
Description: bacterial SSU rRNA
Rfam family: Bacterial small subunit ribosomal RNA
Source: RNAcentral
CGUAGGGACCAAGCGUUGUUCGGAUUUACUGGGCGUAAAGGGCGCGUAGGCGGCGUGUCAAGUCAGCUGUGAAAUCUUGAGGCUUAACCUCAAGCGGUCAGCUGAUACUGAUGUGCUAGAGUGCAGAAAGGGCAAUCGGAAUUCUUGGUGUAGCGGUGAAAUGCGUAGAUAUCAAGAGGAACACCUGAGGCGAAGGCGGGUUGCUAGGCUGACACUGACGCUGAGGCGCGAAAGCCAGGGGAGCAAACGGGAUUAGAUACCCCGGUAGUCCUGGCCCUAAACGAUGAAUACUUGGUGUCUGGAGUUAUUAUUGCUCCGGGUGCCGUCGCUAACGUUUUAAGUAUUCCGCCUGGGGAGUACGCACUCAAGUGUG